GUAGGGAAUUUUCGGCAAUGGACGAAAGUCUGACCGAGCAACGCCGCGUGAGUGAAGAAGGUUUUCGGAUCGUAAAGCUCUGUUGUAGGAGAAGAAAAGAUAAUAGAGGAAAUGCUAUUAUAAUGACGGUAUCCUAUUAGAAAGCCACGGCUAACUACGUGCCAGCAGCCGCGGUAAUACGUAGGUGGCAAGCGUUGUCCGGAAUUAUUGGGCGUAAAGCGCGUGCAGGCGGUUAAAUAAGUCUGAUGUGAAAGUUUACGGCUCAACCGUAAAAGGUCAUUGGAAACUAUUUAACUUGAGUUCAGAAGAGAAGAGUGGAAUUCCACGUGUAGCGGUGAAAUGCGUAGAGAUGUGGAGGAACACCAGUGGCGAAGGCGACUCUUUGGUCUGAAACUGACGCUGAGGCGCGAAAGCGUGGGGAGCAA
Molecule: ribosomal RNA, 425 nt
Filed under: uncultured Bacillus sp.
Lineage: Bacteria; Bacillati; Bacillota; Bacilli; Caryophanales; Bacillaceae
Description: bacterial SSU rRNA
Rfam family: Bacterial small subunit ribosomal RNA
Source: RNAcentral